This is a long non-coding RNA of Haliotis rubra (blacklip abalone), 444 nucleotides long. RefSeq lists it as uncharacterized. The record is from RefSeq and is a predicted model, not a curated record. Lineage: Eukaryota; Metazoa; Mollusca; Gastropoda; Lepetellida; Haliotidae. The transcript is spliced from 2 exons.
GCCUGGACUCGGACACAAGCCUUGACCCAUCUGUCUAUGGUCUGGACCAGCUUUCACCUGUGCAUCACUCGCCGGACUUCUGGAAACGAUAGGAUGAUCUUGGAGUACUAUGGACGAGAGCUUUAACAACUGAGGGGCGUGUGUCAUGUAGUACUUACAAGCACAUCGGUUGUCAACAUUACGGUUUUUUGUGUGACCUGUAACUUGAAAACUACUGUGUAGAGUCUUUUCAAACUUAGUGUAGGCUUUUAAUACCAAUAUUAGAGGUACAGUGUGACGUUUAUUUUAAUACUUGGAUUUUUUUAAAGAAUACUGCUGUUUUUCAUUUUACUUAAAAUUCAUUUACUUCAUCGUCAUUAUACCUUAAUCACUACACCAUGGAUGCCUAUAAAAUUCAGGGAACGAUUUCAGUACUCAACAGAACAGUUAAAAUGCAACUUAUGA